Rhincodon typus (whale shark) is the source of this 1569-nucleotide long non-coding RNA. RefSeq lists it as uncharacterized. The transcript has 4 exons. NCBI's taxonomy places the organism in Eukaryota, Metazoa, Chordata, Chondrichthyes, Orectolobiformes, Rhincodontidae. The record is from RefSeq and is a predicted model, not a curated record.
GCGAAAGGUUCUCUGCUCUGCCAAAGUUCUGCCUAGGAUGUGAGGCUGAAAAUCUGUCUCAAUCAGAAACAGCAGCAGGCUCUUUAUGGCUGAUCAAACUCUUUCAGAACCUCAAGAACUUACUAAUGAACAAACCUCUUUGCAGAAAGGUUUUCCACCUUCUUUGGCACAAGGACUACCACAUUUACAAAAUUACCAGGAGACAUAUGAAUGAAGAUGCAUUGGAUCAUCUUUCCAAAUCGCGAAGCAAUCAUCAGAAAACUGGAAAAAUGUGAAAAUUGCAAAAGAAUCUUUAAACUGGCAUAAAGUGGAUCACACUAAAAUAUCGCUUCAAAACCAUAUCUGUAUUAAAUAUCAGAAGACUUUGAGUUGGGCUAUUAUUAGCUGCUUUCUUCAUGUAGGAAUCUGAUGAAAUAUACAAUCUUGAAUUGUAAGCAUAUUUUCCUUUGAAAAACUUUGGAGUUAUCUUGAUCGUCAGGCUGUUCAUUUUAACAGCUCCAUUAAUGAUUUAUGGACUAGUGAAACACAUUUUCAGAUUUUCUGACUAUCUUAUUCAUCCAACAUCAGAGAUUUGCUAAUCAUGUUCAGAAAAACAAGCUCUACAAGUCCACUAAUAGCAGUAGAAGCUAUGCACUAAAUGUUUGGAUUCAUAAUUUCUUGCAUGUUUUUUGGCAGUGAUGAGCUGCAUCAAUAUGGUGCUAGCUAUAAGAUAAUAGAUUAGAUUAGUGGUUGAUGCAUGAAAUGGAAGCCAGUGGACCUGUUGGAGUUUGUCAUUGUGCACUGUGCAUUGUCCUUGUCAGGGGUAUACGAACAGCGGUAAUACAAAGCAGAUGUUGACUGGGGCAUUUUUGUACAAAAUGUGAAACUGUAUCAGCAUGAAAGAUUUUAAAGGAUUUCAGUAAAUGAAAAGUAAGCCUUGCUAACUGCUAAUGUGGAGGACAGGCCGUUUUACUUGGAAACAUGUAACCAAACCAUAUGGUGCAUAGACACUGAAAAAAUGAUAGAUAACAUAAUAUCAGACAAUUUCCUAAUCAUACUCCAUCCAGUGUUGGACAUCCUUGCAUCAGUAAUAAUGGUUUCCAUAAACCGCUUCCACUUCUCCUGUUCCAAGGAGACACACUAAGUUAAUUGUUCAAGUUAGAAAAUAGAUUCCCCUGAUACUUUUCACAAUUACAUACUUUUGUGCCUUUUUUUUAUGAUUUCUGUGAAUUACACAUUUCCCAUUGAAGUGCAAUCAACAUUCAAUUCAAACAAACAAAGGGAAGGAUUAUUUUUUACAAAUGCUUGACUGAUAAAUAUUCAAAUACCAGUUACUCCAUUAUUUUCAGCUCUUAUUUAUUGCAUAUAUAUCCGUACCCAUUAACCUGUAAACAGUGCUUCCAAGUUACAAGUGUGCAAUCAAUUUAUUGGUAUGGAUUUGGAACGUUGUUCAGUUCUGGGUUAGCUCUCUCAUCUUAGUGUGAUCCAGUUUUGGGCGUUAGAGGUAUUGGUUCAACAGAAGGCUGUAACUAACGAUUGUUAAAUCAGUCAUUUCACUGUUGUGACAGGAUAACAUCCACGUUUAAAUCA